GAUUGAGUGGCCGAUUAGGUGUUAAAUUGUAAAUUUAAUUAUAGGUUUAUCCUCUUGGUCA
RNAcentral lists this transfer RNA (61 nucleotides) under Tullbergia mixta. Its description in RNAcentral is "tRNA-Tyr". The record is from RNAcentral. Lineage: Eukaryota; Metazoa; Arthropoda; Collembola; Poduromorpha; Tullbergiidae.